CCUACGGGAGGCAGCAGUAGGGAAUAUUGCACAAUGGGGGAAACCCUGAAGCAGCAACGCCGCGUGGAGGAUGAAGGUUUUCGGAUUGUAAAGUCCUAUUAUUAGAGAAGAGAAUGACGGUUACUAACGAAUUAGCACCUGCCAAAUCCUUGUCAGCAACCGCUGGAAAACGGUGGGUGGAAAUGUUACUCGGAAUCUCUGGGGUGAAAGGGCGCCGAGGCGGGAUAGCAAGUCAGGUGUGAAAUCCUAUGGCUUAAACAUAGAAUUGCUUUUGAAACUGGUAAACUAGAGUAUGGGAGAGGGAAGUGGAAUUCUAGGGGUAGGGGUGAAAUGCGUAGAGAUUAGGAGGAAUACCAAUGGCGAAGGCGACCUACUAGACCAUAACUGACGCUGAGGCGCGAAAGUGUGGGGAGCAAACAGGAUUAGAUACCCUAGUAGUC
This 440-nucleotide ribosomal RNA is filed under the name uncultured bacterium. RNAcentral's name for it is "partial 16S ribosomal RNA". It matches the Rfam family "Bacterial small subunit ribosomal RNA", at positions 338 to 795 of the family's 1533-position model. The record is from RNAcentral.